Molecule: ribosomal RNA, 446 nt
Filed under: uncultured bacterium
Lineage: Bacteria
Description: bacterial SSU rRNA
Rfam family: Bacterial small subunit ribosomal RNA
Source: RNAcentral
GGUAUGGGAUGAGCUUGCGUCCGAUUAGCUAGUUGGCGGGGCAACGGCCCACCAAGGCGACGAUCGGUAGCCGGCCUGAGAGGGUGAUCGGCCACAUUGGGACUGAGAUACGGCCCAGACUCCUACGGGAGGCAGCAGUAGGGAAUAUUGCACAAUGGGGGGAACCCUGAUGCAGCAACGCCACGUGUGGGAAGAAGCAUUUCGGUGUGCAAACCACUGUCAUGAGGGAAUAAGGCCCGCCUUCGGACGGGAUUGAAUGUACCUUGAGAGGAAGCACCGGCAAACUUCGUGCCAGCAGCCGCGGUAAUACGAGGGGUGCAAGCGUUGUUCGGAAUUACUGGGCGUAAAGGGAGCGUAGGCGGAGAUUCAAGCGGAUUGUACAAUCCCGGGGCCCAACCCCGGCUCUGCAGUCCGAACUGGAUCUCUUGGAUAGUUCAGGGGCAGGC